RNAcentral lists this ribosomal RNA (473 nucleotides) under uncultured Cellulomonas sp. RNAcentral's name for it is "bacterial SSU rRNA". It matches the Rfam family "Bacterial small subunit ribosomal RNA", at positions 910 to 1382 of the family's 1533-position model. The record is from RNAcentral. Lineage: Bacteria; Bacillati; Actinomycetota; Actinomycetes; Micrococcales; Cellulomonadaceae.
UUGACGGGGCCCGCACAAGCGGUGGAGCAUGUGGUUUAAUUCGAAGCAACGCGAAGAACCUUACCAGGUCUUGACAUCCCGAUGCUAUUUCUAGAGAUAGAAAGUUACUUCGGUACAUCGGUGACAGGUGGUGCAUGGUUGUCGUCAGCUCGUGUCGUGAGAUGUUGGGUUAAGUCCCGCAACGAGCGCAACCCUCGUCCUAUGUUGCCAGCGGGUCAUGCCGGGGACUCAUGGGAGACUGCCGGGGUCAACUCGGAGGAAGGUGGGGAUGACGUCAAAUCAUCGUGCCCCUUAUGUCUUGGGCUUCACGCAUGCUACAAUGGCCGGUACAAAGGGCUGCGAUACCGCGAGGUGGAGCGAAUCCCAGAAAGCCGGUCUCAGUUCGGAUUGGGGUCUGCAACUCGACCCCAUGAAGUCGGAGUCGCUAGUAAUCGCAGAUCAGCAACGCUGCGGUGAAUACGUUCCCGGGCCUU